RNAcentral lists this ribosomal RNA (253 nucleotides) under uncultured bacterium. RNAcentral's name for it is "partial 16S ribosomal RNA". It matches the Rfam family "Bacterial small subunit ribosomal RNA", at positions 524 to 776 of the family's 1533-position model. The record is from RNAcentral.
UACGUAGGGUGCAAGCGUUGUCCGGAAUUAUUGGGCGUAAAGAGCUCGUAGGCGGUCUGUCGCGUCUGCUGUGAAAACUCGGGGCUUAACCCCGGGCCUGCAGUGGGUACGGGCAGACUAGAGUGCGGUAGGGGAGACUGGAAUUCCUGGUAUAGCGGUGAAAUGCGCAGAUAUCAGGAGGAACACCGAUGGCGAAGGCAGGUCUCUGGGCCACUACUGAUGCUGAGAAGCGAAAGCAUGGGGAGCGAACAGG